GAGCUUGCUCUGUGGGAUCAGUGGCGAACGGGUGGGUAACACGUGAGCAACCUGCCCCUGACUCUGGGAUAAGCGCUGGAAACGGCGUCUAAUACUGGAUAUGUGACGUGACCGCAUGGUCUGCGUUUGGAAAGAUUUUUCGGUUGGGGAUGGGCUCGCGGCCUAUCAGCUUGUUGGUGAGGUAAUGGCUCACCAAGGCGUCGACGGGUAGCCGGCCUGAGAGGGUGACCGGCCACACUGGGACUGAGACACGGCCCAGACUCCUACGGGAGGCAGCAGUGGGGAAUAUUGCACAAUGGGCGAAAGCCUGAUGCAGCAACGCCGCGUGAGGGAUGACGGCCUUCGGGUUGUAAACCUCUUUUAGCAGGGAAGAAGCGAAAGUGACGGUACCUGCAGAAAAAGCGCCGGCUAACUACGUGCCAGCAGCCGCGGUAAUACGUAGGGCGCAAGCGUUAUCCGGAAUUAUUGGGCGUAAAGAGCUCGUAGGCGGUUUGUCGCGUCUGCUGUGAAAUCCCGAGGCUCAACCUCGGGCCUGCAGUGGGUACGGGCAGACUAGAGUGCGGUAGGGGAGAUUGGGAUUCCUGGUGUAGCGGUGGAAUGCGCAGAUAUCAGGAGGAACACCGAUGGCGAAGGCAGAUCUCUGGGCCGUAACUGACGCUGAGGAGCGAAAGGGUGGGGAGCAAACAGGCUUAGAUACCCUGGUAGUCCACCCCGUAAACGUUGGGAACUAGUUGUGGGGUCCAUUCCACGGAUUCCGUGACGCAGCUAACGCAUUAAGUUCCCCGCCUGGGGAGUACGGCCGCAAGGCUAAAACUCAAAGGAAUUGACGGGGACCCGCACAAGCGGCGGAGCAUGCGGAUUAAUUCGAUGCAACGCGAAGAACCUUACCAAGGCUUGACAUAUACGAGAACGGGCCAGAAAUGGUCAACUCUUUGGACACUCGUAAACAGGUGGUGCAUGGUUGUCGUCAGCUCGUGUCGUGAGAUGUUGGGUUAAGUCCCGCAACGAGCGCAACCCUCGUUCUAUGUUGCCAGCACGUAAUGGUGGGAACUCAUGGGAUACUGCCGGGGUCAACUCGGAGGAAGGUGGGGAUGACGUCAAAUCAUCAUGCCCCUUAUGUCUUGGGCUUCACGCAUGCUACAAUGGCCGGUACAAAGGGCUGCAAUACCGUGAGGUGGAGCGAAUCCCAAAAAGCCGGUCCCAGUUCGGAUUGAGGUCUGCAACUCGACCUCAUGAAGUCGGAGUCGCUAGUAAUCGCAGAUCAGCAACGCUGCGGUGAAUACGUUCCCGGGUCUUGUACACACCGCCC
RNAcentral lists this ribosomal RNA (1309 nucleotides) under Microbacterium sp. RNAcentral describes it as "bacterial SSU rRNA". It matches the Rfam family "Bacterial small subunit ribosomal RNA", at positions 76 to 1395 of the family's 1533-position model. Lineage: Bacteria; Bacillati; Actinomycetota; Actinomycetes; Micrococcales; Microbacteriaceae. The record is from RNAcentral.